UUUUUUUCUUUUUCUUUUUUUUUUCCUUCUCAACGGACACAGCAUCGACAGAUUUACGAGAGCAUGGUGAUGCUGUUGUUGGUAACAAUGUGAACGAAAACGAAGGGGAAAAAACAGUGCUAUUUUUUUAAAAACGAAAAAAUGAAUGGCAGUAAAUGAAUUGGAAAGUAUUCACGAAAAAACAAAUGUUGUAAC
This 195-nucleotide non-coding RNA is filed under the name Lotharella globosa. The record is from RNAcentral. Lineage: Eukaryota; Cercozoa; Chlorarachniophyceae.